UACGGGGGGGGCAAGCGUUGUUCGGAAUUACUGGGCGUAAAGGGCUCGUAGGCGGCCAACUAAGUCAGACGUGAAAUCCCUCGGCUUAACCGGGGAACUGCGUCUGAUACUGGAUGGCUUGAAUCCGGGAGAGGGAUGCGGAAUUCCAGGUGUAGCGGUGAAAUGCGUAGAUAUCUGGAGGAACACCGGUGGCGAGGGCGGCAUCCUGGACCGGCAUUGACGCUGAGGAGCGAAAGCCAGGGGAGCAAACGGG
Molecule: ribosomal RNA, 253 nt
Filed under: uncultured bacterium
Lineage: Bacteria
Description: partial 16S ribosomal RNA
Rfam family: Bacterial small subunit ribosomal RNA
Source: RNAcentral